CCUACGGGCGGCUGCAGUGGGGAAUAUUGCACAAUGGGCGCAAGCCUGAUGCAGCCAUGCCGCGUGUGUGAAGAAGGCCUUCGGGUUGUAAAGCACUUUCAGCGGGGAGGAAGGCGUUAAGGUUAAUAACCUUGUCGAUUGACGUUACCCGCAGAAGAAGCACCGGCUAACUCCGUGCCAGCAGCCGCGGUAAUACGGAGGGUGCAAGCGUUAAUCGGAAUUACUGGUCGUAAAGCGCACGCAGGCGGUCUGUCAAGUCGGAUGUGAAAUCCCCGGGCUCAACCUGGGAACUGCAUUCGAAACUGGCAGGCUAGAGUCGUGUAGAGGGGGGUAGAAUUCCAGGUGUAGCGGUGAAAUGCGUAGAGAUCUGGAGGAAUACCGGUGGCGAAGGCGGCCCCCUGGACAAAGACUGACGCUCAGGUGCGAAAGCGUGGGGAGCAAACAGGAUUAGAUACCCGAGUAGUC
This 465-nucleotide ribosomal RNA is filed under the name uncultured Klebsiella sp. RNAcentral describes it as "bacterial SSU rRNA". It matches the Rfam family "Bacterial small subunit ribosomal RNA", at positions 338 to 795 of the family's 1533-position model. The record is from RNAcentral. Lineage: Bacteria; Pseudomonadati; Pseudomonadota; Gammaproteobacteria; Enterobacterales; Enterobacteriaceae.